This 511-nucleotide ribosomal RNA is filed under the name uncultured Glomus. RNAcentral describes it as "SSU rRNA". It matches the Rfam family "Eukaryotic small subunit ribosomal RNA", at positions 569 to 1081 of the family's 1831-position model. Lineage: Eukaryota; Fungi; Glomeromycota; Glomeromycetes; Glomerales; Glomeraceae. The record is from RNAcentral.
AGCAGCCGCGGUAAUUCCAGCUCCAAUAGCGUAUAUUAAAGUUGUUGCAGUUAAAAAGCUCGUAGUUGAAUUUCGGAAUCAAUGGAUCGGUCAUGCCACUCGGUGUGUACUGGUUUGAUUGGUUCUCACCUUCUAAGGAACCGUGAUGUCAUUAAUUUGGUGUCGCGGGGAAUUAGGACUGUUACCUUGAAAAAAUUAGAGUGUUUAAAGCAAGCUCACGCUUGAAUACAUUAGCAUGGAAUAAUGAAAUAGGACAUUGUAUUCUAUUUUGUUGGUUUCUAGGAUCGAUGUAAUGAUUAAUAGGGAUAGUUGGGGGCAUUAGUAUUCAAUUGUCAGAGGUGAAAUUCUUGGAUUUAUUGAAGACUAACUACUGCGAAAGCAUUUGCCAAGGAUGUUUUCAUUAAUCAAGAACGAAAGUUAGGGGAUCGAAGACGAUCAGAUACCGUCGUAGUCUUAACCAUAAACUAUGCCGACUAGGGAUCGGAUGAUGUUAAUUUUUAAUGACUCAUUC